RNAcentral lists this transfer RNA (74 nucleotides) under Bacillota bacterium. RNAcentral's name for it is "tRNA-Cys". It matches the Rfam family "tRNA". From Rfam's summary of the family: Transfer RNA (tRNA) molecules are approximately 80 nucleotides in length. Their secondary structure includes four short double-helical elements and three loops (D, anti-codon, and T loops). The record is from RNAcentral. Lineage: Bacteria; Bacillati; Bacillota.
GGCGUCAUAGCCAAGCGGUAAGGCAAGGGACUGCAACUCCCUGAGCACCGGUUCAAAUCCGGUAGGCCCCUCCA